Molecule: long non-coding RNA, 2885 nt
Organism: Oncorhynchus kisutch (coho salmon)
Lineage: Eukaryota; Metazoa; Chordata; Actinopteri; Salmoniformes; Salmonidae
Exons: 5
Source: RefSeq, a predicted model, not a curated record
UUUAGGCUGGGUUUCUGUACAGCACUUUGAGAUAUCAGCUGAUGUACGAAGGGCUAUAUAAAUACAUUUGAUUUGAUUUGAUUUGAAAAGGCAUUGUCGUGCCAACAUUAUUCACAUUUUCUUAUUUAUUAAACAUUUGAUUUCAAUAGUUUUCUCUUCCCAAAACUAAAAUAUGUUAUGAACAGAGUGGACUAAGGCACUGCAUCUCAGUUUCAAGCUGUGCCACUAGAGAUGAUUUAAUCUAAUUUCACUGCAAUUGGUUAGUCAACAUGCAAUAAUACCUGUAUACUGUCAAUAUCACUGAGAUUCAUUAUUUGUGUUUAGAUGACCAAAAUCAGAUUAACUAAGCCUACCCUUCCUCUUUUCCCUCCCUUUUCAGUGAUGUGAACUACAAAAAAAUGCAAACCAAUACUUCAGAUCUUGCCUGGAUUCCUGCCUCUUUCAAAGUUAUAAGUAGGAACAAUGGCUACAUGUCUGGCACUGUGAAAUCUGAGGAAGAAUUGGGGUUCUUGCUAGAAAACCACAAAAGAGCCACUUACACUUCAUUCAAUACAUGGUCUGAACAUAAAAAGGAUCAAAUCAAAAGAAGGCUACUUUGGCAAGUGGAGGAUUAUGCAGACGAUGUCCCCGUUUGUGUUGGAAAAAUAGCUAUCCUUGCAUGGCAAAGCAUCGAAAAGACCUACAGCUGAGGAACAGCCUUCAGAACAUGUAUAUAGCAAGAAAAGAUUAUGUGUAGAGGGGCAAAAAAGUGGACUGUCCAGCAAAGCUUUUCAUUCGGCUUGUAACUAGGUAUGACACAUUUAGUGUCAAAGGGGAUGCUUCAAGGGCAAAAAAACAAGAAGCAAUGAAAAGGCUGAAGGAGGCAUUGACUCUGACAAGCCCAGCUACAUCAUGUCAAGUUCUCAAUCGCUGAAGCACAACAAAAUCACACUGUCAAUGAAGCAAGUUGCUUUAAAAGGAAGAUGCAUCCACAAGAAAACAUGGGGCAGGACAGAGACUCCAGACAGCAGGAGGAAAACAUGGGGCAGGACAGAGUCAGGGAAAACCACAUCCCAGCUGAAGAGUGUGCGUUAAGAGUUGAAUUAAACAAAAUAAUGGAUGCUACUUAUCUAUGUCAAGACAUUGAGAUCUUACAAAAGACAAAGGAAGCUGUGGCAGACAUUCGAAAAUCCUUCAUUGGCUCCUGUCCAAAAGGGAAUGGUCUUCCGUUGCUGAGCAAAGAGAACCAAUUGAUGAGAGAAAACAACAAAAUGCUUCGAUCUCUCCCACCAAAAGUGAGAAAAGGAAAACUUAAGGGACCGUUUGAAAUUUACUGGGGUGGGGCGGGAUGUCCAAAAUAGGGGAGUGAUGUCUAACUGUUUUGGGGCUUUGGGGAGGGUUGUGUGCAGGUGCACACAUUUUAGAAACAAGUCAAUUUGACCCCUCAAUAAUAUACCAUGAGUACGAUUGAUUGGGAGAAAAAAUCCCCACUGUAAAGCGCCAGGCAGCUACUAGCUUUGUGACACAGAUAGAACAAUGAGACAGAUGUUUUACCGGAUGUAUAAAUCUGAAGCUUCAGGUUAUCAUUUCCACUUAAUCUCAUUACCGUAUUUGGUGGUAAGCCUAGUGGCCUGCAGUGAGAUUUUGGCUGACAUUCUGCAAAUUUUCUCAUUGAUGAAACAUUUGAUCUCAAUACAGUUUUCUGUUCCCAAAACUAGAAUCUGUUGACUAAGUUUUGUAGACUUUCCCUUUUCUCAAAAUUUCUAAAAAUGGUGUUGUUUAGGAGUGCAAGGGCGAUAUGAGUUAUUGUAUAAGCACACUUCACAGAAGUGGAAACCACAGGAUGUGGUCUAUCAAAGGUUUACAGUAGAAACAUCUUUGACAGUGCUACUCAGUUACUCAUUUUUAUGAUGUGGUUGACACUGGAAUACAUUUACCCUGACCCCCCCCCACUCCCAACAUGCAACACAAAGUUACGCCCUUGGUUGUUUUUUUACUGGCCACAGGGGAUGGUAGUUUUUCCUCCCUGGUUUACAUUUGCUUUUUUUGAAGGUUUUACUAUGUCAUAUCUUCCAUCCUAGCCAAGUUUCCUCAUCUGCUUGCAUGCACCUACCUUUAUCAGGUAGGUUUUGUUACUUCCCUUAUGCACUUUUCUGCACACUUACUAUACCACAGGUCAAUAUAGUCUACCAGUCUGUCUAUCCUGACCUAUCCACCAUUCAUAGUGACAAUAGUAGUAGGUGGACUGUUUGUCCAGAUCUACAAUAGGCUAACUAGUAAUCAUACCACACAAAAUCAUUCAAAGCGGCACCAAUUUUCAAUAUAAAUCCACAAGACCAUAGAGGAAUAGCUGAUAAGCAGCGGAGAGUCAGGUGCACAUGAAAGAACAGUGAAGACAUGAGACAUGCUGCUCAAAAAUCUCCCCUAUUGAUCCUGUUUAGGGAAAAUACAAUUAUCCUUACUGGGACUCCCUAAAAACAUUGCAUUUCGCCCAAAGUGGUUUUCGUAGCAGGUUAGGAAAGCAUUUAGGCUAACCCUAUCCCUUUUACUUAACUCUAAUUCUCCUAACGUGCUACCUUAAUUAUCCUAUCCUGCCUAGACUAGCCUGCAAUACCACAAUGCAAUGAAUAAUUGCAUCAUUGUUUUCUACUGAGUACAAAAUUCUACUCUAAGCUGUAAACUGCAGUGAAAAUGUCAUUUGAGUAAACGGCGCAAAAGUCCUGUGAUGUUUCAUUCCAUUAAUUCCAUUUGGAUCAGUUUUGGGUCUACUCUCGACAGUUUAUAAGUAUUUAUUGUUAGGAACCCCAAUAGCGAUGGAACCCUGACCUGCCAAGGCAGCAGCAGCUUUUCCUGGGGUCCAAACAGGAUUAAAACACUUAAUCAUAAUAAAACAAUACAUUACAUUA